Molecule: ribosomal RNA, 253 nt
Filed under: uncultured bacterium
Lineage: Bacteria
Description: partial 16S ribosomal RNA
Rfam family: Bacterial small subunit ribosomal RNA
Source: RNAcentral
UACGGGGGGGGCAAGCGUUGUCCGGAAUCAUUGGGCGUAAAGCGCGCGUAGGUGGCCACAUAAGUCCGUUGUGAAAGUCAAAGGCUCAACCUUUGAAAGCCGAUGGAUACUGUGUGGCUAGAGUACGGAAGAGGCGAGUGGAAUUCCUGGUGUAGCGGUGGAAUGCGCAGAUAUCAGGAGGAACACCAAUAGCGAAGGCAGCUCGCUGGGACGUUACUGACACUGAGGCGCGAAAGCGUGGGGAGCGAACAGG